GAGAGAACCCUGAUGAUUAAGUCUGUAAACAUCUCAAAAGUUAACACAUAGUUUUCCUUUUAUACAGAGGAGUAAAAAAGCUAGAAAGCAAUCAGUGUAAGUAAGGGAUGAGAUGGGUGGUGCAGUCCCAAAGUAGAUGAGAAGGCUCUACCCAGGGCCAGUCUGGUCCAAGGAAGGGUGAGCUGCUGCUGGCUCCGGCUGGUCUAGUUUCUUCAGAGGCCUAGAAGAAGGAGAGAAGCCAAACCAGUUUGGCCAACAAGAAUUUUGUUCCAGCUGAUCACUGGGGGCAAGCAGUUAAGCCAAUUAUUCUUAAAUAUUUUUAUUACUGCCUAUUAAUUUUAAAAAAACAUUGGGUUUCAAUGUGUGUAGUUUGAUCGUAUCCAUUCUCUGUAUUACCCUCCCUUACACCCACCCUAUUCCCUUCCUUUUUUGGUACCGGGGAUCAAACUCAGGACCUUGGGCUUUCAAGGCAGGUGCAGUGCCACUGAGCUAAAUCCCCAGUGCUAGUCCCUUCUAACAAGAAUCCGCCUUCUACUUUCAUGUUCUCUUUUCAGAUUCCAUAAAUAGGGGAGAAAAUGUGCUGCUUGUCUUUCUAAAAAAGGUGUAAUAAAACAAGCAGAUGGUGGGUUAGAAGGGGACAGGGUCUUGCUAUACAACCCAGGCUGGCCCUGAACUCCAGAGAUUCUCUUUGCUUCAGCCUCCCAAGUGCUGGGAUUACAG
Molecule: long non-coding RNA, 720 nt
Filed under: Heterocephalus glaber (naked mole-rat)
Lineage: Eukaryota; Metazoa; Chordata; Mammalia; Rodentia; Bathyergidae
Description: lncRNA (ENSHGLG00000049482.1)
Source: RNAcentral